UACGAAGGGGGCUAGCGUUGCUCGGAAUCACUGGGCGUAAAGCGCACGUAGGCGGCUUUUUAAGUCAGGGGUGAAAUCCUGGAGCUUAACUCCAGAACUGCCUUUGAUACUGAAGAGCUAGAGUCCGGAAGAGGUGAGUGGAACUGCGAGUGUAGAGGUGAAAUUCGUAGAUAUUCGCAAGAACACCAGUGGCGAAGGCGGCUCACUGGUCCGGAACUGACGCUGAGGUGCGAAAGCGUGGGGAGCAAACAGG
Molecule: ribosomal RNA, 253 nt
Filed under: uncultured bacterium
Lineage: Bacteria
Description: partial 16S ribosomal RNA
Rfam family: Bacterial small subunit ribosomal RNA
Source: RNAcentral